Molecule: long non-coding RNA, 4917 nt
Organism: Saccostrea echinata
Lineage: Eukaryota; Metazoa; Mollusca; Bivalvia; Ostreida; Ostreidae
Exons: 5
Source: RefSeq, a predicted model, not a curated record
AUGACUGGAAUCUGUUAAAUUUAGGCGGAAUCUCUGAGAGCCUGGAAUUUGUGGAUUCGGUGGAAUACCCUUGGUGUCCAACGAAAUUCUGGGCGGAAUCCACCUUAAUUAAGCAGCUACUAGGGAAGAUUUAAUGAAGGAAGAUGAGGAAGUGGAGAAAAAGCUGAAGAACAAGGAGGACAAGGUGAAGAAAGGACAAGGGCACAGUGACUUGCAGUGUGUGUCAUGUAACAUUAUUACAACAUCUAUAUCAUGGGUCCAUAAUUUUGAGUAAGUCAUUCAUCAACCACUUUAUCUGUACUGGAAACCAUUUCUGAGAGGGAUGAAGUGAUGGAAGAUAAUGAGCCAGAGGGUGGAACGGAAGAGAAAGGGAAAGAAAUAAAGAAAAAGGCAGAAUGAAAAAGGACUAGAACUUGCAAUAGAAGAAAAAGUUGAGGAAAUGAAGAGGAAGAAAUUGAAGAUGAAAAGAAGAGCUCUGGGAGGAAAAAAUUCCAUUUGUAAGAUGUGUGGACAAAAGAAAAACAGCCAUAGAGUGCCAAUGUGGAGUGGAAUAAGUCAGUAUGACUUAAACAUGGUCAAUUGAAGUGUUUGAAUGCCCCUCCAGAAAGCAGAACAAUCUUUGAAUUUGCAGGAAAGAGUAUAAAAUUUGCUGUUAAAAUAUCAUAACAGCUAGACAAAGAUUAAAUAACAACUACAUGUACAUCUAAAGAAUUCUUUUGUCAUAAUAGUGAUUCAUGUGCUAGUACAUGUGACAAGUGCUAUAACGACCUAAUAUAAGUGUGUUUUAGGAGCAUGUUGACUCUAUUGUAAAUGUAUUGACUCCUUAUAUGACCUCAUUUAUAUAUAAGAUUAUAUGAAUGGUAGUGUAGUGACUUGAAAUGUGUGUUAGUAGUAUAGCUCGUUAUGUGUGGUAAUUUUGUUAUUAGUUUUACAUGUAUGAUAGUACAUAUAGUAUGGUGACUCAUGUGUUGGGAAUUAAUGUAUAAUUUUAUGUGUGUUACUGGUAUAACUCAUAAUGUGUGUAAAUAUUGUUUUUUGUAAUAUAUAUUAGUAGUGUAGUGACUCGACAUGUGUGUAAGUAGUGUAGUGACUCGACAUGUGUGUUAUGAGUGUAGCUUAUGAUGUGUGGUUAUUUUGUGUACGUAUGUAGUAUGGUGACUCGUGUGUUAGGAAUGUAUAAUUUUAUGUAUGUUACUGAUAUGCCUCAUCGUGUGAUUUAAAAUGGUUAUUUGUAAUGUAUAUAUUAGUAGUAAAGUGACUCGACAUGUGUGUUAGUAGUGUAGUGACUCGACAUGUGUGUUAGUAGUGUAGCUUAUUAUGUGUGGUAAUUUUGUUAUUUGUUAUGUGAGUUGUACAUGUAGUAUGGUGACUCAUGUGUUGGGAAUGUAUAAUUUUAUGUGUGUUACUUGUAUAACUCAUUGUGUGUGUUUUAAUAUAGUUAUAUGUAGUGUAUAUAUUAGUAUUGUAGUGACUCCACAAGUAUGUUAGUGUGUAGUGACAUGACAUGUGUGUUAGUAGUGUAGUGACUCGACAUGUGUGUUUGAAGUGUAGCUUAUUAUAUGUGGUAUUUUUGUUAUUUGUUAUGGUUGUUGUAUAUGUAGUAUGGCAACUCAUGUGUUGGGAAAGUAUAUUUUAAUUUGAUGUGUGUUACUGGUAUAGCUCAUUGUGUGUUUUAAUAAUUUUUUUUGUAAUGUAUAUUUCAUUAGUGUAGUGACUCGACAUGUGUGUUAGUAGUGUAGUGACUCGACAUGUGUGUUAGUAGUGUAGUGACUCGACAUGUGUGUUAGUAGUGUAGCUUAUUAUGUGUGGUAAUUUUGUUAUUUGUUAUGUGUGUUGUACAUGUAGUAUGGUGACUCAUGUGUUGGGAAUGUAUUAUUAUAUUCUUGCUCCAAAAGAUACUGUUUUACCCUUGUCUGUCUAGCUGUGUGUGUGUCUGUCUGACUGUCCAUAACAAAUUUUUGGUCACAGUUUUCUCAGCAACUACUCAUUGCAGAUGCUUGAAAUUUUAGCAUACUCUUUGUUUAGGCUUGGUGGGAAUCAUUUUCAUACAAAUCUGAUGUCAACUUCCUGUUUAUCCAUGUGUCUGUCCAUACCACACAUAACACAUUUUCGUCGCAGUUUUCUAAGCACUACUUAUUGCUUGAAAUUUUAGCACACUCAUUGCUGAGGCAUGUCAUAUGGUGGGAUUCAUUUUUGUAUGAAUUUGAUGCCAACUUCCUUUUUAUCUGUGCGUCUGUCCGUACCAUACAUAACGAAUUUUUUUUCGCAGUUUUUUCAGCAAUUACUCAGAGCAGAUGCUUGAAAUUUUAGCACAUUCUUUAUUUUGGCAUGCCAUAUCGUGGGAUUUAUUUUUGUACAAGUCUGAUGUCGACUUCCUGUUUAUCUGUGUGUCUGUCUAUACCAUAUAUAACAAAUAUUUGUUGCAGUUUCUCAUCAACUACUUAUUGCAGAUGCAUGAAAGUUUACACACUCUUUGUUUAGGCAUGCCAUAUGAUGGGAUUCAUUUCUGAAUUUGAUGUCAACUUCCUGUUUAACUGUGCGUCUGUCUGUAUAAUAUGGAACAAAUUUUUGUCAAAGUUUUCUCAGCAACAACUCAUUGCAGAUGCUUGAAAUUUUAGCACACUCUUUGUUGACGCAUAAUUGUCAUAUGGUGGGAUUCAUUUUUGUAUGAAUCUGAUAUCAACUUCCUGUUUAUUCAUGCAUCUGUCCAUAGUUGAACUUGUGAAUAUACACAUGAUAGUGUAUAUUCAAAUCACAGCGGAGGUAUUACCAGUGAGCAUUGGCUCACAGACUUCUUGUUUUAUGUGUGUUACUGGUAUAGCUCAUCAUGUGAUUUAAUGUUGUUAUUUGUAAUGUAUAUAUUAGAAGUGUAGUGACUCGACAUGUGUGUUAAUAGUGUAGUGACUCGACAUGUGUGUUUGUAGUGUAGCUUUUUAUGUGUGGUAAUUUUGUUAUUUGUUAUGUGUGUUGUACAUGUAGUAUGUUGACUCAUUACGUGUGGGGAAUAUGUGAUUUUAUGUGUGUUAUUGGUAAAGCUCCUCAUGUGUUCUUAUAUUGUUAUUUGUAAUAUACAGUGAAACUUGUCUUAUUCGGAUGUUGUGUACUCCAAAAACUUGACUUAUACAAUGUUAACUUUAAGUCACCUGCAGUAGACUCAAUUGUUUUAAAUGUUGUCUAAUCCGGAAUGUCGUUUAAUCCAGCGAAUUUCUCGACAUGUGUGUAAGUAGUGUAGUGACUCGACAUGUGUGUAAGUAGUGUAGUGACUCGACAUGUGUGUUAUGAGUGUAGCUUAUGAUGUGUGGUAAUUUUGUUAUUUGUUAUGUGAGUUGUACAUGUAGUAUGGUGACUGGUGUGUCGGGAUUGUAUAAUAUUAAAUGUGUUACUUGUAUAACUCAUUGCGCGAUUUAAAACUAUUAUUUGUAAGGUAUAUAUUAGAAGUGUAGUGACUCGAUAUGUGUGUAAGUAGUGUAGUGACUCAACAUGUGUGUAAGUAGUGUAGUGACUCGGCAUGUGUUUUAUGAGUGUAGCUUAUGAUGUGUGGUAAUUUUGUUAUUUGUUAUGUGAGUUGUACAUGUAGUAUGGUGACUGGUGUGUCGGGAUUGUAUAAUUUUAAAUGUGUUACUUGUAUAACUCAUCGUGCGAUUUAAAACUGUUAUUUGUAAGUUAUAUAUUAGAAGUGUAGUGACUGGACAUGUGUGUAAGUAGUGUAGUGACUCGACAUGUGUGUUAGUAGUGUAGUGAAUCAACAUGUGUGUUAGUAGUGUAGCUUAUUAUGUGUGGUAAUUUUGUUAUUUGUUAUGUGAGUCGUACAUGUAGUAUGGUGACUCGUGUGUUGGGAAUGUAUAAUUUUAUGUGUGUUACUUGUAUUGCUCAUCGUGUGAUUUAAAAUUGUUAUUUGUAAGGUAUAUAUCAGUAGUGUAGUGACUCAACAUGUGUGUAAGUAGUGUAGUGUCUUGACAUGUGUGUAAGUAGUGUAGUUACUUGACAUGUGUGUUAGUUCUGUAGUGACUCGACAUGUGUGUAAGUAGUGUAGCUUAUUAUGUGUGGUAAUUUUGUUAUUUGUUAUGUGAGUCGUACAUGUAGUAUGGUGACUCGUGUGUUGGGAAUGUAUAAUUUUAUGUGUGUUACUUGUAUUGCUCAUCGUGUGAUUUAAAAUUGUUAUUUGUAAGGUAUAUAUCAGUAGUGUAGUGACUCAACAUGUGUGUAAGUAGUGUAGUGUCUUGACAUGUGUGUAAGUAGUGUAGUUACUUGACAUGUGUGUUAGUUCUGUAGUGACUCGACAUGUGUGUAAGUAGUGUAGCUUAUUAUGUGUGGUACUUUUGUUAUUUGUUAUGUGAGUUGUACAUGUAGUAUGGUGACUCAUUUGUUGGGAAUGUAUAAUUUUAUGUGUGUUACUGGUAUGGCUCAUUGUAAGUUUUAAUAUUGUUACAUGUAUUUGUAAUACAUAUUUUGUAUUGUUAUUUUGAUUUGUUUGUUGUACAUGUAGCAUGGGAUUCAUUUUGUGUUGGGAAUGUAGAAUUUUACCUGCGGUAGUGUACAUGUAGCUCAUUUUGUGUGCUAAUAUUGUUAUUUUUAUGUGUAAUAGUCAUGUAGUGACUCAAUAUGUGUGUAAGUAGUGUAGCUCAUUAUGUGUUUUCAUGUUGAGUUAGUUUAGAAGAGUGUUGACUUACUGUGUAAGUUAGAGUAGCCUCUUGCUAUGUGUGAGCAUAAUAUAAAAAGACACUUUUUUAUGAUGAGUAUAUAAUUAUUAAAACAUUGCUAAAUAUAAUAUUAUAUCAACCUCUAUUGAUAAACUUGCAUGUGUUUGAAUUUCUAAUGUAAUGUAAGCUACAUGAAUAGAUCAUAUUUUGACUGAAUUUUGAAUGAGCACAAUUUGUGAUGAUUUUUAUUUUUGAAAUAAACAGAAAUUUAAUUUUC